This 836-nucleotide ribosomal RNA is filed under the name uncultured Gemmatimonadales bacterium. Its description in RNAcentral is "bacterial SSU rRNA". It matches the Rfam family "Bacterial small subunit ribosomal RNA", at positions 86 to 922 of the family's 1533-position model. Lineage: Bacteria; Pseudomonadati; Gemmatimonadota; Gemmatimonadia; Gemmatimonadales. The record is from RNAcentral.
CAAGGGCAACCGGCGAACGGGUGCGUAACACGUGAGCAACCUGCCUUUGUGUGGGGGAUAGCCGGGCUAACGCCCGGGUAAUACCGCAUACGGUUCUCGAGAGGAGUCUCUUGGGAAAGAAACCUCCGGGGCACGAAGAGGGGCUCGCGGCCUAUCAGCUAGUUGGCGGGGUAAUGGCCCACCAAGGCGACGACGGGUAGCUGGUCUGAGAGGAUGGCCAGCCACAUUGGGACUGAGAGACGGCCCAGACUCCUACGGGAGGCAGCAGUGGGGAAUCUUGCGCAAUGGCCGAAAGGCUGACGCAGCGACGCCGCGUGUGGGAGGACGCCUUUCGGGGUGUAAACCACUGUUGCCCGGGACGAACAUCCCUUUUCGAGGGGACUGACGGUACCGGGUGAGGAAGCACCGGCUAACUCCGUGCCAGCAGCCGCGGUAAUACGGAGGGUGCGAGCGUUGUCCGGAAUCAUUGGGCGUAAAGGGCGCGUAGGUGGCGGGACAAGCGUGCGGUGAAAGCUCGGGGCUCAACCCCGAGUCGGCCGUGCGAACUGUUUUGCUUGAGCACUGUAGAGGCAGGCGGAAUUCCGGGUGUAGCGGUGGAAUGCGUAGAGAUCCGGAAGAACACCGGUGGCGAAGGCGGCCUGCUGGGCAGUAGCUGACACUGAGGCGCGACAGCGUGGGGAGCAAACAGGAUUAGAUACCCUGGUAGUCCACGCCGUAAACGAUGGGCACUAGGCGCUUGGGGGAGCGACCCCCCGAGGGCCGGCGCUAACGCAUUAAGUGCCCCGCCUGGGGAGUACGGCCGCAAGGCUGAAACUCAAAGGAAUUGACGGGGGCCC